AUCCUCAGUGAUACGUGAACAUCACGAUUUGAUGUGAUGCACUAUUCUCUGAGGCUGU
Molecule: microRNA precursor, 58 nt
Filed under: Pristionchus pacificus
Lineage: Eukaryota; Metazoa; Nematoda; Chromadorea; Rhabditida; Neodiplogasteridae
Description: microRNA ppc-mir-8215a precursor
Source: miRBase by way of RNAcentral